Molecule: small nucleolar RNA, 99 nt
Organism: Argentina anserina (silverweed cinquefoil)
Lineage: Eukaryota; Viridiplantae; Streptophyta; Magnoliopsida; Rosales; Rosaceae
Product: small nucleolar RNA R30/Z108
Exons: 1
Source: RefSeq, a predicted model, not a curated record
GGAAGUUGCUGUGAGGAUACAAAGCUCCCUCUUCUGAUAUAAGGUUGAGGAAAUUUGUUGGCAGAAUCGAACCUAAUAUUUAUCGCCACUACUGAGCAA